AAAGAUUUAGUUAAAUUCUAUAACAUUAGCAUGUCAUACUAAAAUUAUUUUUAUGAAUAAUCUUUU
RNAcentral lists this transfer RNA (66 nucleotides) under Kilauella sp. KispEL. Its description in RNAcentral is "tRNA-Asp". The record is from RNAcentral. Lineage: Eukaryota; Metazoa; Arthropoda; Insecta; Psocodea; Elipsocidae.